UUGGGCGGAGGGGCUCGUUAUGGGAAAGGGGUGCGUGCGCGUUUGUGCUAAAACAAGAAAGGCAAGAAUCUCCGAGAACAAAACUCUGGUCCUCGCCUGGCCGGGGACCGCAGAAGACAGGGGCGGCGGCGCCAAGGCGGGUCAGGGGCCGGUCCAGCCAAGUUUGCUCCGGCUUAGAUAAACUUUCUGAUGGCAGUUUUUCCUGGUUGCAGCCUGGGUUCCUUGUAACCGGAUGGAGACGAGAGAUCUGGACUUCUGAACAUCUACCAGAAAAGAUAAAAUGUGCA
Molecule: long non-coding RNA, 287 nt
Filed under: Pan troglodytes (chimpanzee)
Lineage: Eukaryota; Metazoa; Chordata; Mammalia; Primates; Hominidae
Description: lincRNA
Source: RNAcentral